GCCGAGAUAGCACAGUAGGUAGUGCAGCCGAUUCGUAAUCGGCAGGUCGGGGGUUCAAAUCCCCUUCUCGGCU
Molecule: transfer RNA, 73 nt
Filed under: Nitrospirota bacterium
Lineage: Bacteria; Pseudomonadati; Nitrospirota
Rfam family: tRNA
About the family: Transfer RNA (tRNA) molecules are approximately 80 nucleotides in length.
Source: Rfam by way of RNAcentral